GAUGAACGCUGGCGGUAUGCUUUACACAUGCAAGUCAUACGGGAGCUAGUCUCGGCUAGCUUCAGUGGCGGACGGGUGAGUAACACGUGAGAAUUCGCCUUUAGGAGGGGGGAUAACAGGGGGAAACACCUGCUAAAACCCCAUAUGCCUUCGGGUCAAAAAGAGUAAUCUGCCUAAAGAGAAGCUCGCGGCUGAUUAGCUAGUUGGUGGGGUAAAGGCUACCAAGGCGACGAUCAGUAGCUGGUCUGAGAGGAUGAUCAGCCACACUGGAACUGAGACACGGUCCCAGACUCCUACGGAGGCAGCAGUGGGGAAUUUU
This 319-nucleotide ribosomal RNA is filed under the name uncultured bacterium. Its description in RNAcentral is "bacterial SSU rRNA". It matches the Rfam family "Bacterial small subunit ribosomal RNA", at positions 28 to 365 of the family's 1533-position model. The record is from RNAcentral.